This 284-nucleotide ribosomal RNA is filed under the name uncultured Eubacteriales bacterium. RNAcentral describes it as "uncultured Clostridiales bacterium partial 16S ribosomal RNA". The stretch from base 46 to 284 matches the Rfam family "Bacterial small subunit ribosomal RNA", at positions 100 to 339 of the family's 1533-position model. The record is from RNAcentral. Lineage: Bacteria; Bacillati; Bacillota; Clostridia; Eubacteriales.
UUUAUUUGAUUUCCUUCGGGACUGAUUAUUUUGUGACUGAGUGGCGGACGGGUGAGUAACGCGUGGGUAACCUGCCUUGUACAGGGGGAUAACAGUUAGAAAUGACUGCUAAUACCGCAUAAGACCACAGCACUGCAUGGUGCAGGGGUAAAAACUCCGGUGGUAUGAGAUGGACCCGCGUUGGAUUAGCUAGUUGGUGAGGUAACGGCCCACCAAGGCGACGAUCCAUAGCCGACCUGAGAGGGUGACCGGCCACAUUGGGACUGAGACACGGCCCAAACUCC